RNAcentral lists this transfer RNA (97 nucleotides) under Candidatus Bathyarchaeota archaeon. RNAcentral describes it as "tRNA-Met". It matches the Rfam family "tRNA". From Rfam's summary of the family: Transfer RNA (tRNA) molecules are approximately 80 nucleotides in length. Lineage: Archaea; Thermoproteati; Candidatus Bathyarchaeota. The record is from RNAcentral.
GCCGGGGUGGCUCAGCUGUGGUUAGAUGCCUUCACGGGCAGAUUGAAGCGCUGGACUCAUAAUCCAGAGGCCGCGGGUUCGACUCCCGUCCCCGGCA